ACGGGCGGUGUGUGCAAUUGCAGUUGAUACUGCGUCGCUUGAGUGCACACAGGGAUGUUGGAAUUCAUGGUGUAGCGGUGAAAUGCUUAGAUAUCAUGAAGAACUCCGAUCGCGAAGGCAUAUGUCCGGAGUGCAACUGACGCUGAGGCUCGAAAGUGUGGGUAUCAAACAGGAUUAGAUACCCUGGUAGUCCACACAGUAAACGAUGAAUACUCGCGGUUGGUUCGUUAGAUUCAGCCGCCAAGCGAAAGCGUUAAGUAUUCCACCUGGGGAGUACGCCGGCAACGGUGAAACUCAAAGGAAUUGACGGGGGCCCGCACAAGCGGAGGAACAUGUGGUUUAAUUCGAUGAUACGCGAGGAACCUUACCCGGGCUUGAACUGCCAGUGACUCAUGCAGAGACGCAUGUUUCUUCGGACACUGGCGGAGGUGCUGCAUGGUUGUCGUCAGCUCGUGCCGUGAGGUGUCAGCUUAAGUGCCAUAACGAGCGCAACCCUUCUCCCUGUUUGCCAUCGGGUCAUGCCGGGCACUCCAGGGACACUGCCAUCGUAAGAUGUGAGGAAGGUGGGGAUGACGUCAAAUCAGCACGGCCCUUACGUCCGGGGCUACACACGUGUUACAAUGGGCGGUACAGAAAGCAGCUACCCCGCGAGGGGAUGCCAAUCUCAAAAACCGUUCUCAGUUCGGACUGGAGUCUGCAACCCGACUCCACGAAGCUGGAUUCGCUAGUAAUCGCGCAUCAGCCAUGGCGCGGUGAAUACGUUCCCGGGCCUUGUACACACCGCCCGU
This 788-nucleotide ribosomal RNA is filed under the name uncultured bacterium. RNAcentral describes it as "bacterial SSU rRNA". It matches the Rfam family "Bacterial small subunit ribosomal RNA", at positions 604 to 1397 of the family's 1533-position model. The record is from RNAcentral.